GUCCACGCCCUAAACGAUGUUCGUUCGCUAUUUCUAGUAUCGACCCUCGGAGUGGCUUAGCUAACGCGUUAAACGAACCGCCUGGGAAGUACGAGCGCAAGCUUAAAAACUCAAAGGAAUAGACGGGGACUCGCACAAGCGGUGGAACAUGAGGUUUAAUUCGUCGGUAAGCGAAGAACCUUACCAGGGUUAGAAAUCUUUGUUGCAAGCCGGCCGAAAGGUUGGCCCUCUCUCAAGGACAACAAGGACAGGUGCUGCAUGGUUGUCGU
RNAcentral lists this ribosomal RNA (269 nucleotides) under uncultured bacterium. RNAcentral describes it as "partial 16S ribosomal RNA". It matches the Rfam family "Bacterial small subunit ribosomal RNA", at positions 793 to 1055 of the family's 1533-position model. The record is from RNAcentral.